This 6359-nucleotide long non-coding RNA is filed under the name Prunus persica (peach). RNAcentral describes it as "long non-coding RNA (PPER_LNC000029)". Lineage: Eukaryota; Viridiplantae; Streptophyta; Magnoliopsida; Rosales; Rosaceae. The record is from RNAcentral.
GGCAUUCUAUCAUAAAUGGUAUUUACUGUUACAAAUUAUGUUAUGUGUCUGACGUAAAAGAUUAGUAGAGCCCAUAUAUUCAAUCACACAUUAUGACAUUUGGAUUAAAUAAAUAAGUAUUUAUAUAUAUAUAUAAUUUUAACGAAAAUCCAUUUUUUUUAAAAUUAAAAAAUUAAAAUCCAAUUUUUUUUUCCGCAACUUCCCACCUCCUCUCUAUACUUAUCUCUCUCCCCCCUCUAUUUCCCUCUGCCCUCUCUCCCUCUAUUUUCUCUCCCCUUAUGCUCUCCCUCUCUCCUCCAUGUGCUUUCCCUCUCCCUUUGUUUUUUUUUUCUUGCCUAGAACCCGACGACCCCAUCCCCACCCUCUCCCUUUGUAUAUUUUGCAAAAUAAUCACUUGCAUAAGGGAAGUUCUACAUAUCCUUUCACACAAACAUUUAUUCAAACAACUUUAAAAAAAAAAUUAAAAAAAAAGGUAAAGGGAGAGCAGAGGGGGAGACUAGAGGAGGCAAGAAAAUACAGAGGGACAGUUGGGCGUGGGUUUCGGGUGAGGAUGUUCGGGUUGUGAGCAAGAAAAAAAAAUUGAGGGAGAGAGGGAGAGCAUAGGGUGAAGAGGGUGGAAAGAGAUGGCAUAUGGGGAGAGAGACGAAGUAGAGGGAGGGGGAUAAGAAGUUGCAGAGAAAAAGUAUUUUCAUUAAAAAAAAUAUUUAUUUAUUUAAUUCACAUGUCACGAUGUGAUUGAGCAUAUAGGCUCUACUUAUCUUACAUGUCAGAUUUAACAAAAUUUUUAAUAACAUAGAUCAUUUGUGAUGAAAAAAGUCCUAAUGUUAAGGACUAUUAAUGUCACAAAAAAACUUCAAAAACCAUUCGUGACAAUUUCAUAAAUCUUAGAGACCAUUUGUGAUAAAAAGUCUUAAUGAAAUGAUGAUGUAUAGACCUAGCUAGGGUAGGGGGUCCAUAUGAUAUCAUUCUGGUUUGAUGGGACAAAAGAUGAGACACCACCACCCAAUAAAAUUUUCAAGUAGUGGUAAAUCUUAAGUCUUUUGAUUUGAUACGUAGCAAUGUGGAUCUUAAGAAUUUUGAAGAAGGUAAUAAUGCAAACCUCACAAGGUGUAGUUUGAAAAAGUAAAAAACCCUAGCUUCUGAGAGUGCCUUUCACCGCCGUUUCACCUCACUAAGAGGAAGGAGAUCAUUACCCCUCCCCUUUCUCUCCUGUUUCUUAACCAUGUUUUGAGUAUCUUUCGAGGUCUCUCUCGAAGCAUUUGGCUUCACCCAUUUUGAUGGGUCCGAAGCUGUCUCCUUCUUGAGAGCUAGUGACUUGAUCGAGUUUUCUUGCUUGGAUCUAAGGCUUUAUGCUCUAUUCUUAUGAGUUUUCCUAGAUCUCCACCGUUCCAAUGCUCUCAGUGUUGUCUCUUGGCUGUCCCCCAAUUGGUCGUUGUUUCUUCUAGGUGUAUUGGUGAUUUCGAAUCUUGCGGCGAUGGAGUUUCUCGGUUAAUGUUGGCUAUCACUCAGACUCUCUCUCUCUCUCUCCCCUCUCGGUCUGGCUUCAUCUCUUGGUUACAACUGCUAAUCUGAAAAAACGAUUUCUCACGAACAUCCUGGAAUAUGUGUAGAGCUACAACACAACUAUGCUCGGGUGCUUGCACUGCCUCAUUCCUUCAUGUUUCACGGUUCUGGUUCUUAUGGCAUUAGGCUGUUUUGAGAGUUAUGCGAUUAUGGUGGCAGAUCUGUGGUGGUUAUGUUUUUAUGUUGUGUAUGUUGAUGUUUUGUUCAACUAGUUUUGUCAAAUUUAAUUUUGUUUAUCUGGUAUCAUCAUCCGAGAUAGUCCUGUUGUCCCUAUCCAUGUGAUAUUGCAAAUUAGUUUGUUCCUCUGAGCUUUCUUAUUGGGUUGUUAUGUCUUGUUAUAUUUGUGUCCUCCCUAUUUUGGAUGAGAUUUCAUAAUGAAAUGCCAUCAUUCCAUUAAAAAAAAAAAAAGUAAUUCUCAACAAAUCAACAAACAAUAAAGAAGGAUAAUAAUCUCCAUUUCAAGUGUAGGGCGGGCAUAUAUGGUUUAGUUGUGUUUUGUUUUCUUGCAUUUCGUGGUUCAAAAUGAAAUGAUAAAAUCAUGCCAUGCAUUUGGUCUUACAAAAUAUAUUUCCCGAUGGUUCCUAAACUAGUUUAUUUAAUUUGUAUGCAUGUAUAUACAUAAAUUAUUUUAUGCGGAUAUUCGAACGUUAUUAUUACGUGGAAGUUAUGCAUUUUAUAUUACCCUUCUUUAUUUUCUCUUAUGUUUAUAAUAACAUUCCCACAAUAAUAACGUGUGGACAUCUAAAUGAGAGAAAAUAUAUAUAUAUAUAUAUAUAUAUAGCCUAGAGGCAUGCAUGUAGUGUAUAGAAGAUAAAGACAGAUACCUUUCACCUAAAUCAUCCUAAAUCAAAUCAGUAAAAGGAGUAAAGGAGUUAGGUGGCACAGCUUCAAUGCCACAUGGAAAUGGAAUAGGAUAGGGUCAAUAUCUUGAGGGCCCGUUCAGAUGUCUCUUUCCCAUAGGUUUAACCGGUGGUGGUCCCACCCUCUCCACUAAUGUCCUUUCUGAUUGUCCCACCAUUUUAUUGUGAUCUAUGAUAAAAGUUUAUUUCUUUAUUUCUUUUUUCUUUUUUAUUUGUGGUGCGAUCUCAAAUUCGUUGCUUAUUUACUAGGUUUUUUUUUUUUGGGGGAAAAUGUUGCCUAUCACUUUGUUAGCGUUUGAUGGGCUUCAAGUCAUAAUUGGCCAUGGAUGAUUAAAAAGUACAUUAUACAGAACAAUUCAUGAAUGUUAUGGGAUGACAUCCUCACUCAAGUCUUGCCAUAAUCUAGCAAAUUUUUUUCUUUCUUUAUAAAUCAUGUUGGAAAUUGUUCUUAACACUCAAUCUAAAUUUAUGCACUCGUAAAGAAGAAUGUAUAAAGUUAGUUUUGAAGUAUAUUUGUUAUUUUAUGUUUUUUUUAAAAUCUUUAUCAUUUAGGAGUUUAUAUACGUCUCACAAUAUAAUUCACUUUUCUGCUCAUUAUAUCUCCUAUAAAUGAUCACGAUGGUGGGGAAGGGAAUAGAAUUGGUGAUCACCAUAAGGGUAAUGAUGAAUGCAUGGAAAGGGCAAGGAUAGAUGGGAGCAUUGUCAUGCUCCAUAUCCAACUCUUAAAAUAGAGAAAGCUUUAAAUCUGAGGAGUGAUAAAUGAAUUCCUAGUGGUUGUGGUUCUUUAUAGUUAAGUUACAAUAGCUCGGAGUAACUCCUAAGAUAACUUAUUAGUUUAAAAAUAUGAAGCAUGAUUAGAGAUGUCCUUGAUCUAUAGUAACAAAUCAAUGUUUCAGAAAUAUUUUCUUCUUAACACUCCCAUAGCAUAGCAUAGACCCAUCUGUUUGGUAAAAAUUCGGACAUUUUAAUUAUAACUAGGAUGGUCCAAGAUGCCACAUAAAACCCCACAGACUGAUCAAUAAAAAGGAAAUUGUACUGUAUUUCGCCAAGAUCAGAUCAACGUUGACAUAUAUGAUUUUAUUUAUAUGACCGAAAAAAUAAAUUAAUUUCGGAUAAAUGAUAAUAGAAUUGGAUUUAUGCCUUCAAGGAUUCCAUCCUGAACAUGGAAUUGUGCCUGGAAGGAUUCCAACUUACAAGUUAAUCAUUAUGUUUCCGAUGGCUACGUAAAGCUCAAUUCAUGUGGAUAAAAUUCAUCCUAAUAAAAGAAGAAAGGGGAAGGGGAAGAUGCCCAUCAUACUAUAUAUGAAAGGGGGAGGGAGAAAAUAUUUACAAGAAUGCCAACACACGAAUAAUUUUUUAUGACAAAAGGAGUGAGAAAGGGACCCAACUGAGUUUUGCUCAAGGGAAUUGUUCCAUAACAAAUAGUAAGACAAGUUUUUAUUUUCAAAUUGCUAAUGUUACUUGUUGAUUAAAUUGUUGUAUGGCUUAUCACAUCUCUUCCCUAGGAGAGAUUUACUUAAUCUCUCUAGAAAUAGGAUCUAGCGAAUUUCGUUUUCGUUUUCGUUUAUGUAAAGAAAAAUAUUUCCCUACUCCGAUAUCACUGUUUUCUUCUCUCUUUAUAUCAUUAAUCAUAUGAGAAGAGAGAUAGAAAAAAAAGACAGGGACACUGGAAUAUGAAGUUUCCCUCGUGCGUAAGAGCAGUGGCUUUGAAUAUGAUAGGGUCCUUUUUACUCUGCCAGGUGCCAAUAUCAAAACCAAUACCAAUUAUCAUUGGCCUUCCCCAUUGGAGCAAUCAAUUUAUCAUUAUCUUUGGCAUAUGUUGCGGACAACGAUCACUUCAACACGAACAUCACAGGGAAGCCAAUAAUUGAUGGCCCAAGUGGUAUCAGUCGUUCUAUGCUAAGGACCUUACAUACGAACUGUAUUUUUAGCCACAAAAUUCAUGUUAAUGGUGGAUUCACUUAAAUUAUAACCGGGUUAAUGAAACCUACACACUUCUUACAUCGAGAAUCAAAGCAUCUCCCAAAUAUCAGAAUUCUAUAAUAAGGGUUUUAUUUAUAUAUGGCUCUUAUGUAAGGUUCUAUCUCUUAAAUGUUGGAUCAAAUUGGUUAGUCGUUAGAUCAAAUUAGUUAGCCUGAUCAAAUAGUUAAGAGAUAAAGUCAUCUCCAAGUGAGGGCGAGUUCCUAAAUUAUAGCCCUAAAUCCCUAAAACACAUCUUCAAGAGUGGACUAAAUAAAAUGCCAAUUCCUAAUGAUCCUUUGACCAGCUCGGACUAAAUAAUUGGAUGGGGCCCAUUUGCUUUUUUGUUUUUUUGUUUUCUUGUAUCAAAUAGGUCAUUUGUUGCCAUUGAUUAAAGAACCGUUGCAAAUCAAGGGCCUGGAGCAACCCAACGGCUAGUUGACGUCAGCAAGCUGUUUUUUAUUAUUAUUUAUUUUUAAUUUAAAAAAUUCAAAAACAUGUAUAAAUACCUACCUCAUUCUUACAUAAUUUUUCACAACAUCUUCAUCAUUUUACAUAGAGUAAUGCUAUUUGGACACACAACAUUGACUACCUUAACUGACCACCUUAUGUGGCAACUGAUGUGUCAUGCCAUGUCAAUUAAUGAGUGUCACCAUGUCCCUUAAUCUAGAAAGGAGUAAAACAUCGAAUGACGUGAUUUGAGAUGACCUUGAGUGAGUGGUGAUGGUAGAGAACAUUAAAUUCAUAUGGAAAUACAAGCAAGGCUAGCUGGAGCUGUCUCUUGACAGGCGCUGUUUUGAGUGUGGGAGGAUUGCAAGAGUGGUUGGGUUGAGGGCAUGUCAUGGUAUGAAACAAGAUGUAUUAAAAAUGAUGGAAGUGUCGAGGACCGAUGCAGAGAGUUGUCAGAUUGAGCACCCAAGAUUGCCUCACCAAGGGCAGUAGAAAGNNNNNNNNNNNNNNNNNNNNNNNNNNNNNNNNNNNNNNNNNNNNNNNNNNNNNNNNNNNNNNNNNNNNNNNNNNNNNNNNNNNNNNNNNNNNNNNNNNNNGCAUUCCUAGUGAGUAGCAUUCCUAGUGAGUGGCCUCAUGGCAACAUUCAUUAAUUGACAUGGCAUGACACAUCAGUUGCCACAUAAGGUGGUCAAUUAAGGUGGUCAAUGUUGUGUGUCCAAAUAGCAUUACUCUUUUACAUAUUAUCCUACCUCAAUUUCAUCCUUUUACAUAAUUUCUCACAUUUUCUUCAUUCUUUUACAAACUAUCCUUCAUCUUUUUCCAUUUAAAAAAAAAAAAAAUCUUUCCUCCGAUUGUUUGAAAAAAUUGCUGGUAUUUCGAAGAAGGGCGAAAAUUGGACUCGAAAGAAAGAUGAAACUCUUUGCCAUGCUUAUGUAAAAGUCUCCGAAGAUAGCCUCAAGGGUACAAGCCAAACUUUUGACGGCGUUUGGACGCGUGUUUCUAAAAAAUACUAAGAGCUUUACAAAGGCACUGCUCCGAGGCCGAGAAACCAUGAAAGUUGUAUCUGUCGAUGGAAGAAGCACAUAUUUCCGAGCAUGAACAAAUGGCAUCAAGCCUUGAAAAGGGUCGAGAGGAGACAUCUAAGAGGAGCCAAUGUCUCUGAGAAAGUAAAUUUUUGUACUAAUUUCUUUACUUAUUAUUUUAAACUACAUACUUUAAUUUUAUUUAAUUUACUUUAAUUAUAUUUUCUAGCAACGCCAAGCGGAGGAGUUCUACAUGGAAGAUGUCAAAAAAGCCUUUAAACUUCAUCAUUGUUGGGAAAUUUGUAAAGGUUGAGUGGCAUUUCAAGACCCACCAGAAGAAAUUUUUGGUCCUACAUCGGUGCGAAAAAAUUUGCCCUUUAAUUUAGAUGAAGAUGAAGAACCAUCUCCGAUCACCAACGAAGAUCCUUCUUCUGCUCAAACAUCCAUUCCUAGACCUAUAGGACGAAACAAGGCAAGAAGAAUGAAAGAAAAAGGCAAGGAAAGG